This 216-nucleotide non-coding RNA is filed under the name unclassified sequences. Its description in RNAcentral is "IS605-orfB-I RNA". It matches the Rfam family "IS605-orfB-I RNA". The record is from Rfam by way of RNAcentral.
ACCUUAUAUAAAUGUAGUAACGCAAGACAGUUACGCAUUUCCCUGUAAGGUGGUGUUUCAAUAGAAGUAUAAGCGACAAGUCUUAUUGUUAAGCUACGAGUUGAAAUAAGAUGAGCUUAUAUAGAAUAGGUUAACCGUAAGACCUUGAGUUGAAAAACUCUAAAAUUAACCUAGGGAUUGAAUUUUUAAAAUUUCGUAUCUCCUAGUUACGGUCGU